This 250-nucleotide ribosomal RNA is filed under the name uncultured Lactobacillus sp. RNAcentral's name for it is "partial 16S ribosomal RNA". It matches the Rfam family "Bacterial small subunit ribosomal RNA", at positions 111 to 354 of the family's 1533-position model. Lineage: Bacteria; Bacillati; Bacillota; Bacilli; Lactobacillales; Lactobacillaceae. The record is from RNAcentral.
UAACACGUGGGGAACUUCCCCAUAGUCUGGGAUACCACUUGGAAACAGGUGCUAAUACCGGAUAAGAAAGCAGAUCGCAUGAUCAGCUUUUAAAAGGCGGCGUAAGCUGUCGCUAUGGGAUGGCCCCGCGGUGCAUUAGCUAGUUGUAAGGUAAAGGCUUACCAAGGCGAUGAUGCAUAGCCGAGUUGAGAGACUGAUCGGCCACAUUGGGACUGAGACACGGCCCAAACUCCUACGGGAGGCAGCAGGU